RNAcentral lists this ribosomal RNA (932 nucleotides) under Enterobacter sp. SGB2. Its description in RNAcentral is "bacterial SSU rRNA". It matches the Rfam family "Bacterial small subunit ribosomal RNA", at positions 543 to 1482 of the family's 1533-position model. The record is from RNAcentral. Lineage: Bacteria; Pseudomonadati; Pseudomonadota; Gammaproteobacteria; Enterobacterales; Enterobacteriaceae.
UAUCGGAUUACUGGGCGUAAGCGCACGCAGGCGGUCUGUUAAGUCAGAUGUGAAAUCCCCGGGCUCAACCCGGGAACUGCAUUUGAAACUGGCAGGCUUGAGUCUCGUAGAGGGGGGUAGAAUUCCAGGUGUAGCGGUGAAAUGCGUAGAGAUCUGGAGGAAUACCGGUGGCGAAGGCGGCCCCCUGGACGAAGACUGACGCUCAGGUGCGAAAGCGUGGGGAGCAAACAGGAUUAGAUACCCUGGUAGUCCACGCCGUAAACGAUGUCGACUUGGAGGUUGUGCCCUUGAGGCGUGGCUUCCGGAGCUAACGCGUUAAGUCGACCGCCUGGGGAGUACGGCCGCAAGGUUAAAACUCAAAUGAAUUGACGGGGGCCCGCACAAGCGGUGGAGCAUGUGGUUUAAUUCGAUGCAACGCGAAGAACCUUACCUGGCCUUGACAUCCAGAGAACUUUCCAGAGAUGGAUUGGUGCCUUCGGGAACUCUGAGACAGGUGCUGCAUGGCUGUCGUCAGCUCGUGUUGUGAAAUGUUGGGUUAAGUCCCGCAACGAGCGCAACCCUUAUCCUUUGUUGCCAGCGGUUAGGCCGGGAACUCAAAGGAGACUGCCGGUGAUAAACCGGAGGAAGGUGGGGAUGACGUCAAGUCAUCAUGGCCCUUACGGCCAGGGCUACACACGUGCUACAAUGGCGCAUACAAAGAGAAGCGACCUCGCGAGAGCAAGCGGACCUCAUAAAGUGCGUCGUAGUCCGGAUUGGAGUCUGCAACUCGACUCCAUGAAGUCGGAAUCGCUAGUAAUCGUGGAUCAGAAUGCCACGGUGAAUACGUUCCCGGGCCUUGUACACACCGCCCGUCACACCAUGGGAGUGGGUUGCAAAAGAAGUAGUAGCUUAACCUUCCGGAGGCGCUACCACUUUGUGAUCAUGACUGGGUG